This is a non-coding RNA of Pelodiscus sinensis (Chinese soft-shelled turtle), 293 nucleotides long. Lineage: Eukaryota; Metazoa; Chordata; Testudines; Trionychidae. The record is from RefSeq and is a predicted model, not a curated record.
CUUCUGGCUGACCGCGCUAGGCACGCUGGGACGUGUAGUCUCUGGGACACUCCCCCCAGCGGGCCCCAGGAGAUGGGGGAAGGGAAAUUGCCUCGGGAAUGUUCAAUCUCUUUCACUAUCUCCAAGAUGCCCCUAUGUAUGAGGUUGCAUACAUACAAUAGUUCAAAGGGGAAGACUCUGGUGGAUGCCUGAGGAACCUCACGAAUGGCGAACAUGAGAUAAGAUCAACUCAGCUCACUAUUGACAAUCUAGAAAAGGCCUGGGACAGCAGCACUGAAGAGACCAUCCCCACA